CUUGACUCCAGGUUUCUGCACUAUUUGAGUUCCUGCCUUGACUCCCCUGCACAAUAGACUGUGAUGUGGGGCUGUAAGCUAAAAUAACCCUUCUCCUGCCCCAACUUGCUUUUGGUCAUGGUGUUUUAUUACAGCCAUAGAAACCCAGACUAAGGCAGGGGGUAAACAGCUAAGCACAGUACUCUAUUGUUUGGAUAACCGUUCCUUUUUGAAGGGUAUCUGAGAGGCACAUCCCUGUGUCAGUCACAGACAUAAUUCUACCUCAGAAGGAGUUGCUGAGAGAGAGAAGAAAUCCCGGAGCUGCAGAUUCUUAUGCUUCCAUGCUCUCUAGCAAGUUACCAAAUUUCAAGUUCUCAGAAGGCAUAAAAAGUGGGGUACCUAAUAUGGAACAGAGACUGAAGAGGGACGAGAUAAAGUAUGAGCGUUUGCGUGCUAAACCAAAAUCAGUCAAAAAUGUAGCUCCUACUUUUUACUAUACUCAUUUUGUACAUUUGCCAUACCUUGGGAUCUGGAGGAAGAAGUCAACUGAGUACUGUUGUAAAGCCUUGUCUCCUCGAGAUCUGUCUGACCUCAGCCAGGCAAAUGCUUCGCAGAGCCCAGAAUGCCUUAUUUCUGUGAAUUUUCCCUAUCAUGGUGUGAGGACAGAACAAUGACUCCCAGACAUGUGUGCCGAGUCACAGAGACCCGGAGGAAGAAGGAGGCCUCCACAGUGUGUACAAAUGAUGGCACUCACCCACAACCUUACCCAGUCCCUUGCUUCUUGAAGCUUAUGUAGCCCUGGAGGGAAAGCCAAGCUUUGGAAACUGUCCUGGAAGACUGAGACCUAGAUCCCAUUACUGGCCCCCAUGCUCUUGACUCAGAUGGCAGGCCCUAGAAAGCGUUGGACCCUGGCUGGCUAUUAUAAAGAUGUUACAAGCUAAUGCUGAGGCACAACAACAACAUAAAAAAGAAGGGGGAGAGAAGUAUUGCAUAAAAAGAGAUGAAGAAAUCCAGGUGGCGUAUGUUCAACCCGGUGAAUUUCUUAAUUCAGUCCAACUCAGUGCAGGUUAGAAGGGGC
This 1057-nucleotide long non-coding RNA is filed under the name Cricetulus griseus (Chinese hamster). RNAcentral describes it as "lncRNA (ENSCGRG00015043247.1)". Lineage: Eukaryota; Metazoa; Chordata; Mammalia; Rodentia; Cricetidae. The record is from RNAcentral.